GACGAACGCUGGCGGCGUGCUUAACACAUGCAAGUCGAACGGAAAGGCCCUGCUUUUGUUGGCUGCUCGAGUGGCGAACGGGUGAGUAACACGUGAGUAACCUGCCCUUGACUUUGGGAUAACUUCAGGAAACUGUGGCUAAUACCAGAUAGUAGCGCCUGCUGCAUGUUGGUGGUUGGAAAGUUUCGGCGGUUGGGGAUUGACUCGCGGCUUAUCAGCUUGUUGGUGGGGUAGUGGCUUACCAAGGCUUUGACGGGUAGCCGGCCUGAGAGGGUGACCGGCCACAUUGGGACUGCGAUACGGCCCAGACUCGUACGGGAGGCAGCAGUGGGGAAUAUGGCACAAUGGGCGGAAGCCUGAGGAAGAAACGCCGCGUGCGGGAUGACGGCCUUCGGGUUGUAAACCGCUUUCGCAGGUGACGAAGCGUGAGUGACGGUAAUGGGUAAAGAAGCACCGGCUAACUACGGG
Molecule: ribosomal RNA, 468 nt
Filed under: uncultured bacterium
Lineage: Bacteria
Description: partial 16S ribosomal RNA
Rfam family: Bacterial small subunit ribosomal RNA
Source: RNAcentral